UGGGGAAUCUUGCACAAUGGGGGCAACCCUGAUGCAGCGACGCCGCGUGAGCGAUGAAGCCCUUCGGGGCGUAAAGCUCUUUCGACCGGAACGAUAAUGACGGUAACGGGAGAAGAAGCUGCGGCUAACUACGUGCCAGAAGCCGCGGUAAUACGUAGGCAGCAAGCGUUGUUCGGAGUUACUGGGCGUAAAGAGUGCGUAGGCGGUUUUCUAAGUUGGGUGUGAAAUCUCCCGGCUUAACUGGGAGGGUGCGCCGAAGACUGGGAAGCUGGAGUGUGGGAAAGGCAGGCGGAAUUCCUGGUGUAGCGAUGAAAUGCGUAGAUAUCAGGAGGAACACCGGCGGUGUAGACGGCUUUCUAGACCAUAACUGACGCUGAGGCACGGAAGCGUGGGUAGCAAACA
This 402-nucleotide ribosomal RNA is filed under the name uncultured bacterium. RNAcentral's name for it is "bacterial SSU rRNA". It matches the Rfam family "Bacterial small subunit ribosomal RNA", at positions 355 to 774 of the family's 1533-position model. The record is from RNAcentral.